This 253-nucleotide ribosomal RNA is filed under the name uncultured bacterium. Its description in RNAcentral is "partial 16S ribosomal RNA". It matches the Rfam family "Bacterial small subunit ribosomal RNA", at positions 524 to 776 of the family's 1533-position model. The record is from RNAcentral.
UACGUAGGGUGCGAGCGUUGUCCGGAAUUAUUGGGCGUAAAGAGCUUGUAGGCGGUUUGUCGCGUCUGCUGUGAAAAUCCGGGGCUCAACCCCGGACUUGCAGUGGGUACGGGCAGACUAGAGUGUGGUAGGGGAGACUGGAAUUCCUGGUGUAGCGGUGGAAUGCGCAGAUAUCGGGAGGAACACCGGUGGCGAAGGCGGUUCUCUGGGCCUUACCUGACACUGAGGAGCGAAAGCGUGGGGAGCGAACAGG